Molecule: ribosomal RNA, 1301 nt
Filed under: uncultured organism
Description: bacterial SSU rRNA
Rfam family: Bacterial small subunit ribosomal RNA
Source: RNAcentral
AGUGGCAGACGGGUGAGUAACACGUAGGUAACCUGCCCUCGAGACGGGGAUAACGGCUGGAAACGGUCGCUAAGACCCGAUAUAGUCUGACCUUCGGGAGAAGGUGAGAGGAAAGGCUUCGGUGCUCGGGGAGGGGCCUGCGGCCCAUCAGCUAGUUGGAGAGGUAACGGCUCCCCAAGGCAAUGACGGGUAGGGGGUGUGAGAGCAUGGCCCCCCACACUGGGACUGAGACACGGCCCAGACUCCUACGGGAGGCAGCAGCAGGGAAUAUUGCGCAAUGGACGGAAGUCUGACGCAGCGACGCCGCGUGGAUGACGAAGGCCUUCGGGUUGUAAAAUCCUUUUCCGGGCGAUGAGGAAGGACACUAGCCUGGGAAUAAGCGUCGGCUAACUACGUGCCAGCAGCCGCGGUAAGACGUAGGACGCGAGCGUUAUCCGGAUUUACUGGGCGUAAAGCGCCUGCAGGCGGUCAGGUAAGUCGGUUGUGAAAGCCCCGUGCUCAAACGCGGGGAGGCCAAGCGAUACUGCGUGACUUGAGGGCGGAAGAGGGGAGUGGAAUUCCCGGUGUAGCGGUAAAAUGCGCAGAUAUCGGGAGGAACACCAGUGGCGAAGGCGGCUCCCUGGACCGCACCUGACGCUCAGAGGCGAAAGCUAGGGGAGCGAACAGGAUUAGAGACCCUGGUAGUCCUAGCCCUAAACGCUGGAUGCUAGGUGUAGGGCUGAUGAGGCUCUGUGCCGGAGCGAACGCGAUAAGCAUCCCGCCUGGGAACUACGGCCGCAAGGCUAAAACUCAAACGAAUUGACGGGGACCCGCACAAGCAGCGGAGCGUGUGGUUUAAUUCGAUGCUACACGAAGAACCUUACCUGGGUUUGACAUGUUGGUGGUACCGAACCGAAAGGGGAGGGACCCUUCGGGGAGCCAACACAGGUGCUGCAUGGCUGUCGUCAGCUCGUGCCGUGAGGUGUCGGGUUAAGUCCCGUAACGAGCGCAACCCUUGCUCUUAGUUAUACGUGUCUAAGGGGACUGCCGGCGACAAGCCGGAGGAAGGUGGGGAUGACGUCAAGUCAGCAUGGCCUUGAUAUCCAGGGCUACACACACGCUACAAUGGCCGGUACAAAGGGCAGCCAAGCCGCGAGGUGGAGCGAAUCCCAGCAAAGCCGGUCCCAGUUCGGAUUGCAGGCUGCAACCCGCCUGCAUGAAGUUGGAGUUGCUAGUAACCGCGCGUCAGCCAUAGUGCGGUGAAUACGUACCCGGGUCUUGUACACACCGCCCGUCACGUCAUGGGAGUUGGCAACGCCUGA